RNAcentral lists this ribosomal RNA (561 nucleotides) under uncultured bacterium. Its description in RNAcentral is "bacterial SSU rRNA". It matches the Rfam family "Bacterial small subunit ribosomal RNA", at positions 336 to 916 of the family's 1533-position model. The record is from RNAcentral.
CUCCUACGGGAGGCAGCAGUGGGGAAUAUUGGACAAUGGGGGCAACCCUGAUCCAGCCAUGCCGCGUGGGUGAAGAAGGCCUUAGGGUUGUAAAACUCUUUCAGCGGGGAAGAUGAUGACGGUACCCGCAGAAGAAGCCCCGGCUAACUCCGUGCCAGCAGCCGCGGUAAUACGGAGGGGGCAAGCGUUGUUCGGAAUUACUGGGCGUAAAGGGCGUGUAGGCGGUUUGUCUAGUCAGGCGUGAAAGCCCCGGGCUUAACCUGGGAACUGCGUUUGAUACUGACAGGCUAGAGGUUGGGAGAGGAGAGUGGAAUUCCCAGUGUAGAGGUGAAAUUCGUAGAUAUUGGGAAGAACACCAGUGGCGAAGGCGGCUCUCUGGUCCACACCUGACGCUGAGGCGCGAAAGCGUGGGGAGCAAACAGGAUUAGAUACCCUGGUAGUCCACGCCGUAAACGAUGUGUGCUAGACGUUGGAUGUUCAGCAUUCGGUGUCGGAGCUAACGCAUUAAGCACACCGCCUGGGGAGUACGGCCGCAAGGUUAAAACUCAAAGGAAUUGACGG